GGCCCAUAUUCCUACGGGAAGCAGCAGUAGGGAAUCUUCCACAAUGGACGAAAGUCUGAUGGAGCAAUGCCAUGUGAACGAUGAAGGUCAUGAAGAUCGUAAAGUUCUUUUAGGGGGGAAAACUCUGAUGGUACCUCCUGAAUAAGUGACAGCAAACUAUGUGCCAGCAGCUGCGGUAAUACAUAGGUCGCGAGCGUUAUUCGGAUUUAUUGGGCGUAAAGCAAGCGCAGGCGGAUUGAUAAGUUCUGUAUUAAAAGCAGCUGCUCAACAGUUGUUUGUACCGAAUACUGUCAGUCUAGAAUUUGGUAGGAAGUUUUGGAAUUAAACAUGGAGCGGUGGAAUGUGUAGAUAUGUUUAAGAACACCAGAGGCGAAGGCGAAAACUUAGGCCAUAAUUGACGCUUAGGCUUGAAAGUGUGGGUAGCAAAUGGGAUUAGAUACCCCAGUAGUCCACACCGUAAACGAUGGGUAUUAGAUGUUGGGACUUGUGUCUCAGUGUCGUAGCUUACGUGUUAAAUACCCCGCCUGGGUAGUACAUAUGCAAAUAUGAAACUCAAAGGAAUUGACGGGGACCUGAACAAGUGGUGGAACAUGUUGCUUAAUUCGAUAAUACACGAAAAACCUUACCAAGGUUUGACAUCCCCAGCGAAGGUAUAGAAAUAUAUUGGAGGUUAUCUGGGUGACAGGUGGUGCAUGGUUGUCGUCAGCUCGUGUCAUGAGAUGUUUGGUUAAGUCCCGCAACGAGCGCAACCCUAUUUCUUAGUUGUUUGUCUAAGUUGACUGAAUCGUAAGAUAUAGGAAGGUUGGGAUCACGUCAAAUCAUCAUGCCCCUUAUGCCUUGGGCUGCAAACGUGUUACAAUGGUGAGUACAAUGUGCAGCAAACUAGCGAUAGCGAGCAAAUCACUAAAACUCAUCUCAGUCCGGAUAAAAGGCUGCAAUUCGCCUUUUUGAAGUUGGAAUCACUAGUAAUCCCGU
This 975-nucleotide ribosomal RNA is filed under the name uncultured Mycoplasma sp. Its description in RNAcentral is "bacterial SSU rRNA". It matches the Rfam family "Bacterial small subunit ribosomal RNA", at positions 328 to 1347 of the family's 1533-position model. Lineage: Bacteria; Bacillati; Mycoplasmatota; Mollicutes; Mycoplasmatales; Mycoplasmataceae. The record is from RNAcentral.